CAGGGAAUCUUGCACAAUGGACGAAAGUCUGAUGCAGCGACGCCGCGUGGGGGAUGAAGGCCCUAGGGUCGUAAACCCCUUUCAGUGGGGACGAAAAUGACGGUACCCACAGAAGAAGGUCCGGCCAACUACGUGCCAGCAGCCGCCGUAAGACGUCGGGACCGAGCGUUGUCCGGUAUUAUUGGGCGUAAAGAGCUCGUAGGCGGUUCCGUAAGUCGGAUGUGAAAGCACAGGGCUCAACCCUGAGACGCCAUCCGAUACUGCGCCGACUUGAACCCAGUAGGGGAGUGUGGAAUUCCUGGUGUAGCGGUGAAAUGCGCAGAUAUCAGGAGGAACACCUAUGGCGAAGGCAGCACUCUGGGCUGGUAUUGACGCUGAGGAGCGAAAGCAUGGGUAGCAAACAGGAUUAGAUACCCCCGUAGUCC
This 425-nucleotide ribosomal RNA is filed under the name uncultured prokaryote. Its description in RNAcentral is "bacterial SSU rRNA". It matches the Rfam family "Bacterial small subunit ribosomal RNA", at positions 355 to 796 of the family's 1533-position model. The record is from RNAcentral.